RNA transcript from Vollenhovia emeryi, 2558 nucleotides. RefSeq lists it as uncharacterized. The record is from RefSeq and is a predicted model, not a curated record. Lineage: Eukaryota; Metazoa; Arthropoda; Insecta; Hymenoptera; Formicidae. The transcript has 5 exons.
GGGGUAAAACCCAAAAAAGAUGUGGCUAUACAUUACGACUGCUGGCACUCAGUUCCCCGGACAGAGCCGGCGCAAGCUCUUGGCACGAGAACGCCUCCGGUGCAGUCGCCCGCGCGCGACAGGAGUGCCCACCGACGCUUUCGGACGGACCGUCGACGAGUCGGGGUGGCGCUUCGCGGCCAUCCUGGCGCCCCACGGCCUCCCAACGACUACACCACCGCCACCCAUCACCACCCGGGCCGGAUCCCUCUCCUUCGCGGCCGUUACUGCGGCGUCAAGGAUCAGCCCCCUGACAGCCGGGGCCCGCGGUACGGUCGCCACAAGGAGCACCACGCUGCGCAGCAGCAGCAGCAGACCACCAGCAGCAGCUGCCGCGAAGGCGUGGACUCUUCCUGGCCAAGUUCAUUUUGCAUCAGACAUGUGGGAACCUGGUAAUAAACACAAAUUUAAAAAAGAUGCAAUUCCAACCAUAUUUGGGUUUUUUCUAAAAAAGCAAGUACCAUCAAAAAACAUCGAAACUGAUGGCAGUAUUAAUGCUGAUAAAAUAACCAAUAUAAAUGACACCUUGGAGCCUACAAUAGAUAAUGUUGAAAAGAAAGAAGAGAAUCUUGAAACAGUUAUGAUAACAGAUACCUCAGAGCGUAUAACUGAUGAUGUUGAACAUGAAGUAGAGAUAGGAACAGAUAUUACACAUGACACUAAUACGCCUGCAUCGACUGUAAAUAUAUCAUCCGGAAGUAAAACAAUACAAAGUGACAAAGAGGAAACUGAGAAGUACAAAGGACAAAUGAAGAAACUGCGUCUACGUCUUAUUGCCAUGAGUAAAAAAAUGAAAGCGUUGCAAUGUACAAAUAAACAUUUAAAAAGUGAGAUUAAUAACAUUAUUAAGAAUGAAAAGUAUAAAAAAGCUUUAAGUAGUAUAUUUAAUGACGACCAAAUAACAGCAUUAUGUACAAAAAACGCAUUCGGGAUUGGUCGAACGUGACAAUGCAACAAGCACUCAAAUUAAAAUUUGCGUGUGGAACUAAUGGGUACGAGGAAUUACUGCGACAAGGGAUACCGUUUCCUAGUAUAAGAACUUUGCGACGAAAGUUAGAAAACUGUAAAUUUGAACCCGGGAUAUCAAAGCAGAUGUUACAGUUUUUGAAAUUUAAACAAUCUUCGUUUACGACAGAAAUAGAUAUCGAAUGUGGAUUAAUAUUCGAUGAAAUGAGUAUAACACCAAAGAAAUGUUAUAAUUCUGCAACGGGAUCGUUGGUGGGAAAUAUCACAUUUCCCGGUGAGACAGAUAAUACAUGACACAGAAGAACUUGGUUUUCAUGUCAACUUUAUUACAUCGGACAUGGGUGCCGGAAAUAUCGGUUUAUGGAAAUUGUUGAACAUUAGCACUGGUAGAUUAAGUCAAAUACAGAAUUUCAUUACCCAUCCAUUCGAUUCCGUAAUUGUAUGUAUGUUAUUGCCGAUCCACCUCACAUUUUAAAAAAUUUGAAGCAAGCAUUAGUUAACAAUGAAACGAUAACUAUUUCUGACGAUAUAGUCCGUAAAUAUAAGUUACCCUCGAAUAAGAUAGAGUUAAAACAUUUUAAUGAAUUGCUAAAUAUUCAAGAAAAUUCUGAUUUGUUGUUAACACCUGCAUUAAAGGCAGACGAUAUUAAAUGCAACACUUUUAACAAAAUGAAAGUAAACAAAGCAAAACAUGUGUUUUCUCAUGACGUUAGUUCUGCAUUCGAAUUAUUAGCAGAUGAGAAUAAGAAACCAGAGUAUAACUGCACUGCGUGGUUUGUUAAAAUUAUUAGUACUUGGUUUUCUGUAAUGACAUCCCGAUAUUCAAAGAUAGCAUUGGGUAAAAAACAUAUUAACAUAUAUGACAAAAAUAUUGAAUUUCUGCACGAAAUCAUUCAUAUUUGUACACAUUUAAAAAUAGGUAAUGGUGGAUUUAAACCCAUGCAAAGAGGGAUAAUGAUAAGUACACAAUCUAUCAUUGAUUUGACGGACUACUUAAUUAAACAAAGGAACUUUCAAUUGGUUUUUACUUCGCGAUUUACACAAGAUUGUAUGGAAAAUUUGUUUUCUCAAAUUAGACAAAAAAAUGUUAUACCAAAUCCACUACAAUUCACAAAUGACUUGAAAUUGAUAGCUAUCGCAAUGUAUAUGAAAAAUAUUAACACUUCCAGUUAUGAAAAUGACGACCAACAAUAUCUGCCAGGAUUUCUUGAAUAUUUAGCAACAGAGAAAAUCAAUAAAUCUGCGACAGAUGUAUGUGAAAAUCAAAACUUUAUUAACAUUCCUCCCUUUAAUGCAAAUAAAAUAUCACAGUUGUCAAACCUAGAAUUGAAUUCUUUGUACAACAUAGCCGGUUACCUCAUUACGUCUAUUAGUAAAAUGUGUCAACAUGCAAUAAAUGUUUACAAUCAGUGCGAUCGCCAACUCCAUUGCGUUUUAUAUUUACAAAGUUGGUUCAACGUAAAUGUUAUACAGAACAGUCGUUAUGUUAUGUUAAUGUAAAAACAUUUAAGCUGUUUAUACAAUUGGAACAUAUAUUUCGUUAUUAUAGUACU